GUCUACAGCCAUACCACCCUGAAUGCGCCCGAUCUCGUCAGAUCUCAGAAGCAAAGCAGGGUCGGGCCUGGUUAGUACUUGGAUGGGAGAAAUUCUAGAGUUAAAAAGUACAGUAACCA
Ribosomal RNA from Cebus imitator (Panamanian white-faced capuchin), 119 nucleotides. Lineage: Eukaryota; Metazoa; Chordata; Mammalia; Primates; Cebidae. The record is from Ensembl.